This 19-nucleotide ribosomal RNA is filed under the name Ernestia ovata. Its description in RNAcentral is "partial 18S ribosomal RNA". The record is from RNAcentral. Lineage: Eukaryota; Viridiplantae; Streptophyta; Magnoliopsida; Myrtales; Melastomataceae.
CGUCUAGUGGAUCCCUGCC